GACAUCACCACACCAAGUCACAGAUGGU
Molecule: non-coding RNA, 28 nt
Filed under: Mus musculus (house mouse)
Lineage: Eukaryota; Metazoa; Chordata; Mammalia; Rodentia; Muridae
Source: RNAcentral